This 23-nucleotide small nuclear RNA is filed under the name Arabidopsis thaliana (thale cress). RNAcentral's name for it is "snRNA_07424". Lineage: Eukaryota; Viridiplantae; Streptophyta; Magnoliopsida; Brassicales; Brassicaceae. The record is from RNAcentral.
ACUUUGACUCGUAUUCGAUUUGA